RNAcentral lists this long non-coding RNA (1059 nucleotides) under Malus domestica (apple). RNAcentral's name for it is "long non-coding RNA (MDOM_LNC015060)". The record is from RNAcentral. Lineage: Eukaryota; Viridiplantae; Streptophyta; Magnoliopsida; Rosales; Rosaceae.
GUCUCUCUACCUUCCUCUCUCUAAAAAAUAGUACUGUGAUAAAUCAUAUUACAGAGAGAGAUUUUUUUUGUUUUUAACAAGCAAUAUUAUCUACACUAAAGAGGAGGGGUAGAGUUAGCGUCAUAAUGGACUAGCAAUAAUGGUUCAAUUCGCCUUUGGCGAAAAUCGAACCUAAGACCUCUCACUUACAAGUGAGGAGGAAUAUCACUAGACCGUAGUACGAAGUGGCUAUUACAGAGAAACAAAUUAGGAAAGAAGUAAUGUGAUAUUAAGUAAGGAUAGAAGCCACUCAAUACUACGAUCUAGUGGUAUUCCUCUUCACUUUAAAGUGAGAGGUCUUAGGUUCGAAUAUCGUGGAUGGCGAAUUCGAUACCAAUUUAGGCUGCCCAUUGUGUGGCUUAGCCAAACUCUCAAUUCUCUUAGUGAAAAAUAUUGAUGUACUAAAAAAAAAAGUAAGGAGAGAGAAGUAUAUAUAAAAAAAAAAUAGUGUAAACAUGCCAUGUGAGAAGAGAGGUCGAUAGAAAGAGGAUGAUCAACUCAAUAACACAAGUUAAUGAUAUAUUUUAUAAGUUAAGGUUUUUAAAUUGUUCCUCGCCGUUGGGAAAAAUAAAGGAUAACGUUAUUUAUACAUUUAUUUUUAUAUCUUAAACACCUUAUUUACUUUUGGUCAUUGAUCAUUUUCAAUUCAUUCGAUCUGACUAUCAAAAGUUGAAAAGACUAUGUGAAAAGUAAAAAUGAUUGUAAAUAACACUACCCAAGAUAAAAGAUUAAUUAUUUCUUGAUAUCACCUUCCAUUGAGAAAGAAUGAUGCUUGUUCUUCCAGUUACCCUCUUGCUUCAUUUCAUACAAAAAUGAUAUGCAAAUCAUCAAAAGAGUAAAAAAUUUACCUUGCCACCUGGUAAGAAAAAUAGUUAAGAGUGAGUAAACUGAUUGAUUGAGAGGGACAGAUAAAUCACAAGAUUGGACAACACAACAUUUCCAUUAACAAUAAUUAACAGAGAGCUUUUGGAAACCCUAAUCCAUAAGAACUAGGAUUCUCUCCUAUGCUUUUUCAAUCUU